Molecule: long non-coding RNA, 479 nt
Filed under: Chrysemys picta bellii (western painted turtle)
Lineage: Eukaryota; Metazoa; Chordata; Testudines; Emydidae
Description: lncRNA (ENSCPBG00000027145.1)
Source: RNAcentral
UGUGUCAAAAAAUAAUAAGUUGACAAUAACCCUGCCAGAAUAUGCAGCAAGGAUGACUGCAUAUUUCUUCUUGCCAGCAUGACAGUAUUAGGGAGCUGGUACAAGCACAGAGGAGAGAGGGCUCUGGACUCAGAAGCAUGCUGCCUUAUCUCGGGCUUUAAAGACUUCUCUGGAGGAUAUGGUCAUUUCUCUCUGGUUUCAUUGUGCCUUGACUAUCACACUGCAAGGAAGUCCAAGAUAGCACAGGACUCUCUGUACUGUACGUGCCCUGGGAACCAGGCACUUUCCAUUACAUAUAUCAGUCACCACAUGCUGCAGUGAUUCCUUACAGCCGGUGCAGAUCCUCAAACACAACAGGGGAUGACAAAGAAAUAUGUCAGUUUUGAAAGCUGCCUCAUCACUGCCUGGGCAUGUGGGACACCUGUUCUUUUACCACAGCUUAUUUGAACGAAUGCUAAAUAAAACCUUGUUGCUCUCCA